Molecule: unclassified non-coding RNA, 148 nt
Organism: Pongo abelii (Sumatran orangutan)
Lineage: Eukaryota; Metazoa; Chordata; Mammalia; Primates; Hominidae
Rfam family: Metazoan signal recognition particle RNA
About the family: The signal recognition particle (SRP) is a universally conserved ribonucleoprotein. It is involved in the co-translational targeting of proteins to membranes.
Source: Ensembl
GCCAGGUGUGGUGAUGCAUGCCUGUAAUCCCAGCUACUUGGGAGGCUGAGGCAGGAGAAUUGCUUGAACCCAGGAGGAGGAGGUUGCAGUGAGCCGAGAUUGAGCCACUGCACUCCAGCCUGGGCGACAGAGCAAGACUCUGUCUCAA